This 163-nucleotide small nuclear RNA is filed under the name Haliotis rubra (blacklip abalone). RNAcentral's name for it is "U1 spliceosomal RNA". It matches the Rfam family "U1 spliceosomal RNA". Rfam says of the family: U1 is a small nuclear RNA (snRNA) component of the spliceosome (involved in pre-mRNA splicing). Its 5' end forms complementary base pairs with the 5' splice junction, thus defining the 5' donor site of an intron. Lineage: Eukaryota; Metazoa; Mollusca; Gastropoda; Lepetellida; Haliotidae. The record is from RNAcentral.
AUACUUACCUGGUACGGGAGGUGGCCGUUCUCAGCAUCGGUUCUCCCAGGGUGAGGCCUUUCCAUUGCACCUUGGUUUGGCUGACCCCUGCGAUCACCGCCAUGGAUAGGUGACUCGAGUACGUAAUUUAUAAGUGUGGGAUUUGCGUCCGCGCUAACCCUGA